CAGCACCUCAAGUGGGUCAGGAGGAUUAUUGGGCCUAAAGCAUCCGUAGCUUGCUCUGUAAGUUUCCCGGGUUAAAUCCAUUAGCUCAACUAAUGGCCUGCCGGAAAUACUGCAAAGCUAGGAAGUGGGAGAGGUAGACGGUACUCGGUAGGAAGGGGUAAAAUCCUUUGAUCUAUUGAUGACCACCUGUGGCGAAGGCGGUCUACCAGAACACGUUCGACAGUGAGGGAUGAAAGCUGGGGAAGCAAACCCGGAUUUAGAUACCCCGGGUAGUCCCAGCUGUAAACGAUGCAGACUCGGUGAUGCCCCUGGCUUGUGGCCAGUGCAGUGCCGCAGGGAAGCCGUUAAGUUUGCCGCCUGGGAAGUACGUACGCAAAGUAUG
RNAcentral lists this ribosomal RNA (382 nucleotides) under uncultured organism. RNAcentral describes it as "partial 16S ribosomal RNA". It matches the Rfam family "Archaeal small subunit ribosomal RNA", at positions 477 to 851 of the family's 1478-position model. The record is from RNAcentral.